This 81-nucleotide transfer RNA is filed under the name compost metagenome. RNAcentral's name for it is "tRNA-Trp". The record is from RNAcentral.
GCUGGCCGUGGGCGGCGGCGGUGCGCGCUUCCAGGGCGCGCAGCGCGGUCAGUUCCUCGUCGUUCGGCGCGACGGUCUCCU